ACUCAAAUGAAUUGACGGGGGCCCGCACAAGCAGCGGAGCGUGUGGUUUAAUUCGAGGCUACACGAAGAACCUUACCUGGGUUGGACAUGGCGAUGGUAGGGAAGCGAAAGCGGACCGACCUUCGGGAGUCGUCACAGGUGCUGCAUGGCUGUCGUCAGCUCGUGUCGUGAGAUGUUCGGUUAAGUCCGAAAACGAGCGCAACCCUCGGUGUCAGUUACAAGUGUCUGGCGCGACUGCCGGCGACAAGCCGGAGGAAGGUGGGGAUGACGUCAAGUCAGCAUGGCCUUGAUAUCCAGGGCGACACACACGCUACAAUGGGCGGUACAAUGGGUCGCGCAGCCGCGAGGCGAAGCCAAUCCUCAAAAGCCGCUCACAGUUCGGAUUGCAGGCUGCAACCCGCCUGCAUGAAGUCGGAGUUGCUAGUAACCGCGCGUCAGCCAUAGUGCGGUGAAUACGUUCCCGGGCCUUGCACACACCGCCCGU
Molecule: ribosomal RNA, 484 nt
Filed under: uncultured bacterium
Lineage: Bacteria
Description: partial 16S ribosomal RNA
Rfam family: Bacterial small subunit ribosomal RNA
Source: RNAcentral